GGGACACGUGGUAUCCUGUCUGAAUAUGGGGGGACCAUCCUCCAAGGCUAAAUACUCCUGACUGACCGAUAGUGAACCAGUACCGUGAGGGAAAGGCGAAAAGAACCCCGGCGAGGGGAGUGAAAAAGAACCUGAAACCGUGUACGUACAAGCAGUGGGAGCACGCUUAGGCGUGUGACUGCGUACCUUUUGUAUAAUGGGUCAGCGACUUAUAUUCUGUAGCAAGGUUAACCGAAUAGGGGAGCCGAAGGGAAACCGAGUCUUAACUGGGCGUUAAGUUGCAGGGUAUAGACCCGAAACCCGGUGAUCUAGCCAUGGGCAGGUUGAAGGUUGGGUAACACUAACUGGAGGACCGAACCGACUAAUGUUGAAAAAUUAGCGGAUGACUUGUGGCUGGGGGUGAAAGGCCAAUCAAACCGGGAGAUAGCUGGUUCUCCCCGAAAGCUAUUUAGGUAGCGCCUCGUGAAUUCAUCUCCGGGGGUAGAGCACUGUUUCGGCAAGGGGGUCAUCCCGACUUACCAACCCGAUGCAAACUGCGAAUACCGGAGAAUGUUAUCACGGGAGACACACGGCGGGUGCUAACGUCCGUCGUGAAGAGGGAAACAACCCAGACCGCCAGCUAAGGUCCCAAAGUCAUGGUUAAGUGGGAAACGAUGUGGGAAGGCCCAGACAGCCAGGAUGUUGGCUUAGAAGCAGCCAUCAUUUAAAGAAAGCGUAAUAGCUCACUGGUCGAGUCGGCCUGCGCGGAAGAUGUAACGGGGCUAAACCAUGCACCGAAGCUGCGGCAGCGACACUAUGUGUUGUUGGGUAGGGGAGCGUUCUGUAAGCCUGUGAAGGUGUGCUGUGAGGCAUGCUGGAGGUAUCAGAAGUGCGAAUGCUGACAUAAGUAACGAUAAAGCGGGUGAAAAGCCCGCUCGCCGGAAGACCAAGGGUUCCUGUCCAACGUUAAUCGGGGCAGGGUGAGUCGACCCCUAAGGCGAGGCCGAAAGGCGUAGUCGAUGGGAAACAGGUUAAUAUUCCUGUACUUGGUGUUACUGCGAAGGGGGGACGGAGAAGGCUAUGUUGGCCGGGCGACGGUUGUCCCGGUUUAAGCGUGUAGGCUGGUUUUCCAGGCAAAUCCGGAAAAUCAAGGCUGAGGCGUGAUGACGAGGCACUACGGUGCUGAAGCAACAAAUGCCCUGCUUCCAGGAAAAGCCUCUAAGCAUCAGGUAACAUCAAAUCGUACCCCAAACCGACACAGGUGGUCAGGUAGAGAAUACCAAGGCGCUUGAGAGAACUCGGGUGAAGGAACUAGGCAAAAUGGUGCCGUAACUUCGGGAGAAGGCACGCUGAUAUGUAGGUGAAGUCCCUCGCGGAUGGAGCUGAAAUCAGUCGAAGAUACCAGCUGGCUGCAACUGUUUAUUAAAAACACAGCACUGUGCAAACACGAAAGUGGACGUAUACGGUGUGACGCCUGCCCGGUGCCGGAAGGUUAAUUGAUGGGGUUAGCCGCAAGGCGAAGCU
Molecule: ribosomal RNA, 1503 nt
Filed under: Escherichia coli
Lineage: Bacteria; Pseudomonadati; Pseudomonadota; Gammaproteobacteria; Enterobacterales; Enterobacteriaceae
Description: partial 23S ribosomal RNA
Rfam family: Bacterial large subunit ribosomal RNA
Source: RNAcentral